UACGUAGGGUCCGAGCGUUAAUCGGAAUUACUGGGCGUAAAGCGUGCGCAGGCGGUUUUGUAAGCCGGAUGUGAAAGCCCCGGGCUCAACCUGGGAACUGCAUUUGGGACUGCAAGGCUGGAGUACGGCAGAGGGAGGUGGAAUUCCACGUGUAGCAGUGAAAUGCGUAGAGAUGUGGAGGAACACCGAUGGCGAAGGCAGCCUCCUGGGCUAGUACUGACGCUCAUGCACGAAAGCGUGGGGAGCAAACAGG
RNAcentral lists this ribosomal RNA (253 nucleotides) under uncultured bacterium. RNAcentral's name for it is "partial 16S ribosomal RNA". It matches the Rfam family "Bacterial small subunit ribosomal RNA", at positions 524 to 776 of the family's 1533-position model. The record is from RNAcentral.